RNAcentral lists this ribosomal RNA (253 nucleotides) under uncultured bacterium. RNAcentral's name for it is "partial 16S ribosomal RNA". It matches the Rfam family "Bacterial small subunit ribosomal RNA", at positions 524 to 776 of the family's 1533-position model. The record is from RNAcentral.
UACGGAGGGGACUAGCGUUGUUCGGAAUUACUGGGCGUAAAGCGCACGUAGGCGGAUUUGUAAGUCAGGGGUGAAAUCCCGGGGCUCAACCUCGGAACUGCCUUUGAUACUGCAAAUCUCGAGUCCGGAAGAGGUGAGUGGAAUUCCUAGUGUAGAGGUGAAAUUCGUAGAUAUCUGGAGGAACAUCGGUGGCGAAGGCGGCAUCCUGGACCGGUAUUGACGCUGAGGCGCGAAAGCCAGGGGAGCAAACGGG